This 253-nucleotide ribosomal RNA is filed under the name uncultured bacterium. RNAcentral describes it as "partial 16S ribosomal RNA". It matches the Rfam family "Bacterial small subunit ribosomal RNA", at positions 524 to 776 of the family's 1533-position model. The record is from RNAcentral.
UACGGAGGGUGCAAGCGUUAAUCGGAAUUACUGGGCGUAAAGCGUGCGCAGGCGGUUAUAUAAGACAGAUGUGAAAUCCCCGGGCUCAACCUGGGAACUGCAUUUGUGACUGUAUAGCUAGAGUACGGCAGAGGGGGAUGGAAUUCCGCGUGUAGCAGUGAAAUGCGUAGAUAUGCGGAGGAACACCGAUGGCGAAGGCAAUCCCCUGGGCCUGUACUGACGCUCAUGUACGAAAGCGUGGGGAGCAAACAGG